Molecule: ribosomal RNA, 440 nt
Filed under: uncultured bacterium
Lineage: Bacteria
Description: partial 16S ribosomal RNA
Rfam family: Bacterial small subunit ribosomal RNA
Source: RNAcentral
CCUACGGGCGGCAGCAGUGGGGGAUAUUGCACAAUGGGGGGAACCCUGAUGCAGCGACGCCGCGUGGGUGAAGAAGCGCCUCGGCGCGUAAAGCCCUGUCAGCAGGGAAGAAAAUGACGGUACCUGAAGAAGAAGCCCCGGCUAACUACGUGCCAGCAGCCGCGGUAAUACGUAGGGGGCAAGCGUGAUCCGGAUUUACUGGGGGGCCAGGGGGCGCAGACGGCGAGGCAAGCCAGGAGUGAAAGCCCGGGGCCCAACCCCGGGACUGCUCUUGGAACUGCGUGGCUGGAGUGCAGGAGGGGCAGGCGGAAUUCCUGGUGUAGCGGUGAACUGCGUAGAUAUCAGGAGGAACACCGGUGGCGACGGCGGCCUGCUGGACUGCAACUGACGUUGAGGCCCGACAGCGUGGGGCGCAAACCGGAUUAGAUACCCCGGUAGUC